RNAcentral lists this long non-coding RNA (1095 nucleotides) under Sus scrofa (pig). RNAcentral's name for it is "lncRNA (ENSSSCG00030042404.1)". The record is from RNAcentral. Lineage: Eukaryota; Metazoa; Chordata; Mammalia; Artiodactyla; Suidae.
CUAUUCCUCUACUGCCUAAUAAAACCAAGGCUGGAUGUCUCCACUUGGAUUUCUCACUCUGAAUGAUACUGCCAAGCUCUCCAGAGCGAAUUCCCUUUUAAAUUUGGUGGCCAUGGAGCCAAGAUUCCCUCUUAUUAGAACCACCUGAGAACUUGCUAGAACUUCUCAGGCCCCAUUAGGGGUAGGGGUAGGGGUAGGGGUAGGCCCACUGCAACAGAAACUCUGGGGGUGGGCCUAGCAAUCUGGGUUUUAACCAGUCCACCAAGGGAUUCUAAUGCAUGCUCAAGAUUGAGAAUCACUGCUCUAAAGCAUUCCCAAUUUCUUUUUCUUUUUCAUGUAAUCUCAGUAAAUGAUCCCAGAAACACCAAAAAUUCUGGUAUCUAAUCUGCAUUAAGGAUGCCCCUUAGGCCUAGAAAAACCAGCUCAGCCCCUUGCAUAAAAACACCUCUCAUAUUUCCCUCUCAGUCCCUUCAUCAUUUUCAUGUGAAUGUCUUGUCUCCCCAGCCACACUGGUAGCCCACAGACAUACUUCCAUCCCCCUGGUCACUUAGCACAACGCUUCUGGAAUGGGAGUUGCUCAAUAUUUGUCCCAGAUGAGAAAGUUUGAGACACAUUUGCACCCUCAGUAAGGAUCAACCGUCUGGUGCCUCCACACAUAAAACUGCUCUGAAAUAUUCUAGAUUUAUAUGCUAGGAAGCAUAGCUCUGAGCACAUUUGAAAACACUCUUCUGUCUGGAGGUGGCUGAUGAGAAAGGGGCCACGUUUCUGCUUAUUGUUCCAGAAGUGUGUCUUUAGAAAACACACAAGGGAGUUCCUGUUGUGGCGCAGGGAAAUGAAUCCUACCAGGAACCAUGAGAUUUCGGCUUUGAUCCCUGGCCUUGCUCAGUGGUUGGAUUCAUUAACCACUGAGCCACGACAGGAACUCCUCACAAUAUGGUUUUUUGUUUGUUUUUUUCUUGAGAAAAAUGAAACUCAGGGAUGUCUUAUGCCUUAUUUAAGGACAAUUAAUCAACGGACAAGAGGAUUCCAAUCCAGUUCCAUUUGAUUUCAAAGUUCAUGCUGUAUCUGUACCUCAGUAGCCCCCAAAGCUCAGAG